GACGAACGCUGGCGGCGUGCUUAACACAUGCAAGUCGAACGGAAAGGCCCUGCUUUUGUGGGGUGCUCGAGUGGCGAACGGGUGAGUAACACGUGGGUAACCUGCCCUUGACUUUGGGAUAACUUCAGGAAACUGGGGCUAAUACCGGAUAGGAGCUCCUGCUGCAUGGUGGGGGUUGGAAAGUUUCGGCGGUUGGGGAUGGACUCGCGGCGUAUCAGCUUGUUGGUGGGGUAGUGGCUUACCAAGGCUUUGACGGGUAGCCGGGCUGAGAGGGUGACCGGCCACAUUGGGACUGAGAUACGGCCCAGACUCCUACGGGAGGCAGCAGUGGGGAAUAUUGCACAAUGGGCGGAAGCCUGAUGCAGCCACGCCGCGUGCGGGAUGACGGCCUUCGGGUUGUAUACCGCUUUCGCCUGUGACGAAGCGUGAGUGACGGUAAUGGGUAAAGAAGCACCGGCUAACUACGUG
Molecule: ribosomal RNA, 468 nt
Filed under: uncultured bacterium
Lineage: Bacteria
Description: partial 16S ribosomal RNA
Rfam family: Bacterial small subunit ribosomal RNA
Source: RNAcentral